Molecule: ribosomal RNA, 503 nt
Filed under: uncultured bacterium
Lineage: Bacteria
Description: partial 16S ribosomal RNA
Rfam family: Bacterial small subunit ribosomal RNA
Source: RNAcentral
AUUGAACGCUGGCGGCAGGCUUAACACAUGCAAGUCGAGCGGGGUGAUGGUGCUUGCACUAUCACUUAGCGGCGGACGGGUGAGUAAUGCUUAGGAAUCUGCCUAUUAGUGGGGGACAACAUCUCGAAAGGGAUGCUAAUACCGCAUACGUCCUACGGGAGAAAGCAGGGGAUCACUUGUGACCUUGCGCUAAUAGAUGAGCCUAAGUCGGAAUAGCUAGUUGGUGGGGUAAAGGCCUACCAAGGCGACGAUCUGUAGCGGGUCUGAGAGGAUGAUCCGCCACACUGGGACUGAGACACGGCCCAGACUCCUACGGGAGGCAGCAGUGGAGAAUAUUGGACGAUGGGGGGAACCCUGAUCCAGCCAUGCCGCGUGUGUGAAGAAGGCCUUAUGGUUGUAAAGCACUUUAAGCGAGGAGGAGGCUCUUUUGGUUAAUACCCAAGAUGAGUGGACGUUACUCGCAGAAUAAGCACCGGCUAACUCUGUGCCAGCCGCCGCCGUAA